Molecule: ribosomal RNA, 497 nt
Filed under: uncultured bacterium
Lineage: Bacteria
Description: partial 16S ribosomal RNA
Rfam family: Bacterial small subunit ribosomal RNA
Source: RNAcentral
GAUGAACGCUGGCGGCGUGCCUAAUACAUGCAAGUCGAGCGAACAGACGAGGAGCUUGCUCCUCUGACGUUAGCGGCGGACGGGUGAGUAACACGUGUAUAACCUACCUAUAAGACUGGGAUAACUUCGGGAAACCGGAGCUAAUCCCGGAUAAUAUAUUGAACCGCAUGGUUCAAUAGUGAAAGACGGUUUUGCUGUCUCUUAUAGCUGGAUCCGCGCCGCUUUAGCUAGUUGGUACGGUAACGGCUUACCAAGGCAACGAUGCGUAUCCGACCGGUCUGGGGGAUAGCCCGCCUGGGAGCGGGACCGGGGUCAUGACUCCUGCGGGAGGCCGCAGAAGGGUAUCGUCGGCAACGGGCGGAAGCAUGACGGAGCAGGGCGGAGUGAGAGAUAGAGGUGUUCGGAGCGGGAUGCUCUGUUAUGGGGGAUGAACCAAUGUCGAAGUAAAUAUGGCCGUAUUGACGGUACUGAGUCAGAAAGCCACGGCUAACUACGUG